Molecule: ribosomal RNA, 402 nt
Filed under: uncultured bacterium
Lineage: Bacteria
Description: bacterial SSU rRNA
Rfam family: Bacterial small subunit ribosomal RNA
Source: RNAcentral
UGGGGAAUUUUGCGCAAUGGGGGGAACCCUGACGCAGCAACGCCGCGUGCGGGAUGAAGGCCUUCGGGUUGUAAACCGCUUUCAGCAGGGAAGAUAGUGACGGUACCUGCAGAAGAAGCCCCGGCUAACUACGUGCCAGCAGCCGCGGUAAUACGUAGGGGGCGAGCGUUAUCCGGAUUCAUUGGGCGUAAAGCGCGCGUAGGCGGCCCGUCAAGCGGAACCUCUAACCCGAGGGCUCAACCCCCGGUCGGGUUCCGAACUGGCAGGCUCGAGUUUGGUAGAGGAAGAUGGAAUUCCCGGUGUAGCGGUGGAAUGCGCAGAUAUCGGGAAGAACACCGAUGGCGAAGGCAGUCUUCUGGGCCAUCAACUGACGCUGAGGCGCGAAAGCUGGGGGAGCGAACA